RNA transcript from Sapajus apella (tufted capuchin), 960 nucleotides. It is a transcript of the gene named ras-related C3 botulinum toxin substrate 1 pseudogene, with no coding region annotated. The record is from RefSeq and is a predicted model, not a curated record. NCBI's taxonomy places the organism in Eukaryota, Metazoa, Chordata, Mammalia, Primates, Cebidae. The transcript has a single exon.
UCACUUAGUGGCUGGCACCUGCUCUGUGCUGGAUCUCCAGGUACAGUUGGAUGGGUCCAAUCUGCACAUUUCUAUAGGAGAUACCUGAAGACCAGUUUUGUUUUGUUUUUCCCCGGCUGGAAGAUUUUGAGUUUUAUAGCAAACCGUAUUGUACAGAUUCGGGGCCCAGGGGCCCAGCCUGGCUGGGUCCCCCGCUUGCCUCUCGCCGGGCUGCCUCCUCCCUCCCCCAAGCGGCCCCACACAACCAAGGCAUUUCCUGGAGAAUAUAUCCCUACUGUCUUUGAUAAUUAUUCUGCUAAUGUUAUGGUAGAUGGAAAACCGGUGAAUCUGCGCUUAUGGGAUACAGCUGGACAAGAAGAUUAUGACAGAUUACACCCCCUAUCCUAUCCGCAAACAGAUGUGUUCUUAAUUUGCUUUUCCCUUGUGAGUCCUGCAUCAUUUGAAAAUGUCCACGCAAAGUGGUAUCCUGAGGUGCGGCACCACUGUCCCAACACUCCCAUCAUCCUAGUGGGAACUAAACUUGAUCUUAGGGAUGCUAAGGACACGAUCGAGAAACUAAAGGAGAAGAAGCUGACUCCCAUCACCUAUCCACAGGGUCUAGCCAUGGCUAAGGAGAUUGGUGCUGUAAAAUACCUGGAGUGCUCGGCGCUCACACAGCAAGGCCUCAAGACAGUGUUUGAUGAAGCGAUCCGAGCAGUCCGCUGCCCACCUCCCGUGAAGAAGAGGAAGAGGAAAUGCCUGCUGCUGUAAAUGUCUGAGCCCCUUUUUCUUGGCUUUGUCCCUUGGAACCUUUGUACGCUUUGCUCAAAAAACGGUGGAGCCUUCACACUCAAUGCCAACUUUUUGUUACAGAUUAAUUUUUCCAUAAAACCAUUUUGAACCAAUCAGUAAUUUUAAGGUUUUGUUUGUUCUAAAUGUAAGAGUUCAGACUCACAUUCUAUUAAAAUUUAGCCCUAAAAU